This 54-nucleotide transfer RNA is filed under the name Ovis aries (sheep). It matches the Rfam family "tRNA", at positions 1 to 53 of the family's 71-position model. Rfam says of the family: Transfer RNA (tRNA) molecules are approximately 80 nucleotides in length. Their secondary structure includes four short double-helical elements and three loops (D, anti-codon, and T loops). The record is from Rfam by way of RNAcentral. Lineage: Eukaryota; Metazoa; Chordata; Mammalia; Artiodactyla; Bovidae.
ACCCUGGUGGCUCAGAUGGUAGAGCGUCUGCCUACAAUGCAGGAGACCUGGGUU